AGGAUGAACGCUGGCGGUGUGCCUAAUACAUGCAAGUCGAACGGAAUCUUAAUAUUCCUUGUUUCGGACUUGCGCGUUUAAACACAUGCAAGUCAGAACUAUGGAAUUGUGAGAUUUAGUGGCGAACGGGUGAGUAACACGUUGGUACCUGCCCCGAAGUGGGGAAUAACUGCCCGAAAGGGUAGCUAAUACCGCAUAUUGCCGAAAGGUGAAAGCAGUAAUGCGCUUCGGGAGGGGCCUGCGUCCCAUUAGCUUGUUGGUAGUGUAAUGGACUACCAAGGCGACGAUGGGUAGCUGGAUCGAGAGGUUGACCAGCCACACUGGGACUGAGAUACGGCCCAGACUCCUACGGGAGGCAGCAGUAAGGAAUCUUCCACAAUGGACGAAAGUCUGAUGGAGCAACACCGCGUGCAGGAUGAAGGCUUUCGGGUCGUAAACUGCUUUUAUAUGGGAAGAUUAUGACGGUACCAUAUGAAUAGGACGGCUAACUACGUGCCAGCACG
RNAcentral lists this ribosomal RNA (503 nucleotides) under uncultured bacterium. RNAcentral describes it as "SSU rRNA". It matches the Rfam family "Bacterial small subunit ribosomal RNA", at positions 26 to 515 of the family's 1533-position model. The record is from RNAcentral.